Molecule: ribosomal RNA, 498 nt
Filed under: uncultured bacterium
Lineage: Bacteria
Description: partial 16S ribosomal RNA
Rfam family: Bacterial small subunit ribosomal RNA
Source: RNAcentral
GACGAACGCUGGCGGCGUGCCUAAUACAUGCAAGUCGAACGAGAGCGACCGGUGCUUGUGCUGGUCACUCUAGUGGCGAACGGGUGAGUCACACGUGGGAAACCUGCUCAUCAGAGGGGGAUAUUAUCCGGAAACGGGUGCUAAACCCGCAUAGGUCUUCGAACCGCAUGGUUUGUAGAGGAAAAGAGGCGCAUGCUUCUGCAGAUGGAUGGACUCGCGGUGCUGUGGCUAGUUGGUGGGGUAACGGCUUACCAAGGGCGCGAUGCAUAGACGAUCGGAGGGGGUGAUCGGCGACAUGGGGAGGUGGACACGGCCCUAGGUCCUACGGGAGGCAGCAGUAGGGAAGCGUCGGCAAUGGACGCAAGUCUUACGGAGCGGCGGCGCGUGAGUGAAGAAGGUGUUCGGUGCGUAAAACUCUGUUGUUAGAGAAGAACAAGUGCUGGAGGAGCCGUUAGCGCAUUGACGGUAUCUAGCCAGAAAGCCACGGCUAACUACGUG